RNAcentral lists this transfer RNA (82 nucleotides) under Saccharomyces cerevisiae (brewer's yeast). RNAcentral describes it as "Phe-tRNA". The record is from RNAcentral. Lineage: Eukaryota; Fungi; Ascomycota; Saccharomycetes; Saccharomycetales; Saccharomycetaceae.
UGCGAACUCUGUGGAUCGAACACAGGACCUCCAGAUGACUUGACCCUUCAGUCUGGCGCUCUCCCAACUGAGCUAAGUCCGC